Molecule: unclassified non-coding RNA, 290 nt
Filed under: uncultured fungus
Lineage: Eukaryota; Fungi
Description: partial contains 5.8S ribosomal RNA and internal transcribed spacer 2
Rfam family: 5.8S ribosomal RNA (bases 1-132)
Source: RNAcentral
UGGUUCUGGCAUNGAUGAAGAACGCAGCGAAAUGCGAUAAGUAAUGUGAAUUGCAUAAUUAGUGAAUCAUCGAAUCUUUGAACGCACAUUGCGCCCCUUGGCAAUCCGAGAGGCAUGUCUGUUCGAGCGCCGAAUCGUUAUUAUAGCAUAGCUUUGUGUUGACAUUAUACAAAAUAGUGUUUAAAUACUUUGGCGUUGUAAACUCUGUAUCACUACGUAAAGUGUGAAGACAUUUCUACAAUUGCCCAUGUUUCAUGCUUGGCCUCGAAUCAGACAAGAAUACCCGCUGA